GGAAACGUGCCUGAAAACUAAGGGCUGCUUUGAUAAAGCAGACAUAGAGGCCUCACCACUAACCCUCUCGCUUCCC
This 76-nucleotide transfer RNA is filed under the name Saara hardwickii (Indian spiny-tailed lizard). The record is from RNAcentral. Lineage: Eukaryota; Metazoa; Chordata; Lepidosauria; Squamata; Agamidae.